AUCUGUUCUGAGCAGCUCUGGGCUGCAGACGCUGCCAUCCCACCGGUCUCCCCCUGGGCCGAGGGCAUACUGGGCGGGAAGCGAUUUCACGCGAGGGCCGCGGCGCCCGCCCCCGGCUGGCCUUUCUCCCCUGAUCUGGCGCCCCGGGCGUCCCGCGGCUCGGGGUGAGGGCGUUUAAGUGACCGGUGGCAGCUCGCGCUUCCCGGAAGGGCUCUGGCGGUGACUCAGGGCCGCCUCUCGAGGGGGCUCUCCGCGGGGAGGGCGCCGGGGCUGGUCGGGGGGCCUUCCCCUCACGGUGGGCUUGGCAGCGCCGGCGCCCGCGCCGCGGCAUCGAGUGACCGAGCGCACGCCAGGCCUCACGGCGCUCGGCCGGGGGACGGCCGCGCCCAGCUCCGCCACCGGACAUGGGCGACGCCUGGCUGGGCUGCCGAGGGCGGGAGCGAAACCAUUUCAUCGCGGCCCAGCGGGAGGGGCACGCCCGCCCCGUCACUUCGAGGAAGCCGGAGCCUGACAGGCCGCGCACGAGCCGGAAGGGCGGCGAGUCAGGGACCAUCCUGCGCACGCGCGGCGCCCCUCCCGCACCCGGUCGCGUUGAGCGGCUCCCUCCGCCAGCUGCCGGAUCUAAGUCGUCGGCCUUCGCCGCCGCCGGCCUGCCGCCCCCGCGCCGCCCUGACGCAGCCGGCCCGCCCUUCGCCCCCGCGGCGCCGGCUUCUUGUGACGUCGCAGCCCAGCCCUCGCGCUUCGUCCCCCGAGCGCGGCGGGGCGGCGGGGCGGCGGGGCGGCGGGGCGGCGGGGCGGCGGGGCGGCGGGGCGGCGGGGCGGGCGGGCGCUCGUGACCUGUCGGAAGCUCUGUGGGGAAGGACCCGUCUUUUGUAAUUUCCUACGGUUUCCUAAUAAGGGUGAAAAUGCGGGCACCUCUGAACUUGCAAGCUGGGAGUUCUGAUCCAAAAAUGUAAUCUUAACCAACCAGUCUGGAAUUUUCUGGUCAAGCAGUAGUAAGGUGAUCUGUUGCAUAGGCCGUCUCCAUCCUCCAGAGGAAGAAGAGGUAAUCUGGGUGGUAAAACCCAUGCCAGUUCCCUCCCCAAGAAGAGGUCCUGGCCCAAACUAACCCUCUCUUUUCAUUUGCUAAUGACUUCCUUGGCCCACCCUUCUUCCUAUAAAAACCAUCCCUUUUGUACAACACCUGGGAGUGCCCUUCUACUUUCUAGAUGGAAUACUGCUCCAUUCAAGAAUUGCUUCAUAAAGCCAAUUAGAGCUUCAGAUUUACUUGGUUGAAUUUUGUUUUUAACAGGUUUUUUAGAUUCCACAGGUAAGUGAUAGCACACAGUAUUUGUCUUUCUCUGACUUUCUUCGCUAGCAUCAUGCCCUCAAGUUUCACCCAACUUGUCACAAACUGCAAAAUUUCCUUCUUUCUCAUGGCUGAAUAGUAUUCCUAGAUAGAUAGAUAGGUAUUGGACAUGAAUAAGAAGAUGUGACAUAUAUGUGUCACAUCUUUAUUCAUUCAUCCAUUGAUGGACACUUAGGUUGUUUGCAUAUCUUGGCUCUUGUGAAUAAUGCUGCAGUGAACAGGGGAGUGCAGAUGUCUCUCUCAGAUCCUGAUUUCAAUUCCUUUGGCGAUAUUCCCAGAAGUGGGAUUGCUGGACCAUAUGGCAGUUCUAUUUUUAAUUUUUAGGAACCUCCAUACUGUUUUCCCUGUGGCUCUAUCAAUUUGCGUUCCCACCAACAGUGCACAAGAGUACUCUUUUCUUCACACCCUUGCCAAGGCUUGUUAUCUGUGGUCUUGUUUUUUGGGGGGGGGGGGAGGGGAGGGGGGAGAAGAUUAGCCCUGAGCUAACAUCUGCUGCCAAUCCUCCUCUUUUUGCUUAGGAAGACUGGCCCUGAGCUAACAUCCGUGCACAUCUUCUUCUAUUUUAUAUGUGGGACACCUACCAUAGCACGGCUUGCCAAGCACUGCCAUGUCCGCACCCGGGAUCCAAACUGGCGAACCCCGGGCCACCGAAGUGAAACGUGCGCACUUAACCUCUGUGCCACCAGGCCGGCCCCUUUCUUGUCUUUUUGAUGAUUACCAUUCUAACAGCAUCACUGAUGAGCCAUGUGGAGGUCCAUGCCUGGAAUCCAAACCCAUGAACCCCAGGCUGCUGAAGCGGAGCAUGCGAACUUAACUGCUACACCACAGGGCGGCCUCUCUUCUCUUCUUAUAAGGACAUCAGUCAUUGGAUUUAGCAUCUAUCUUAAUCUGAUGUCGCCGCAUGUUUUCCCUUAGAAGAGGACUUCCUCAUCUCCUAACUAGUUCAAUAUGCCGCACUCUGUCCUGGGAAUGGAUGUUCCACCCGUCAAAGCGACUCAGUGUGUGUUCGCGCCAUCUAGUGGACAACUCGGAUUUAGCACCGCGGGCUUUACGUCUGACCGGGCGCCUCCCGAAAGCACGGAAAGAGCCAGAAAGCGGCACUACUGUGUCCUCGGUGUCUCUAUGCAGAAUCUCCCCAAAGAGAAGUGUCUCCUCUAUUAUGUGGAAAGAAAACACACACAUUUAUUUUGUAGUUUAUUUUAUUACCUAUUUUAUUUCAUCUUUAUGACUUUCUUCGUCUUGCCGUUGAAAUUUAAAAUGUUUCCUAAUAUCCUUGUGGGAGAUGAUAAAAAUAACUCAUAUAGCUGUUCUCCUUUCUUUAUAACAGUGUUUUUAUUCAGCAAGGAUUGGAUUCUAUUUCUUUCUCCUCUGGGAUGUUUCCCUAGUCCACGGCUGACCUUUCUUAGGAAUUAAUUGAAAAGGAAAUGGCGGAUACCAUUCAGCCCCUGGGCCUGGUAAACCAGUAGAGGCCAGGCUUGGAGGUCGCCGGGGCCAGCUGAGACAAGCUGCCAGGGAACUCUGCUGCUCUGUGUUAGGAAGACUUCUUGUUACCCUGGUAAAGUGAAAAGACAUGAGCGACCCAGUCUAUCAAUCUUACUCUCAAUAAUUUACUUAAAAACAAACAAACAAACAAACAAAAAACCCUGAUCUGAAGAUUCAGGCAGAAAUUUAAAACUACUUCUCUCUUUUCAUAACUCCAAAAGGAUUUUGUGUCUGUAGCUGUAGAACCUGCUGUAGGUGUUCCUAAGCCUCAAUUCAGCCAACUCCUGAGAGUUCCCACACUGUCAAAAUGUGUGACCCGCCAGUGCUUGGGCCAGGCGUAAACCGAUUAAGUUUUUAAAUAGAUCAAGUGUGAGCUGAAACCUGCUACCUAAUUUAAAUGCCAUCUAGUGGCCGAGUGUCAUUUUUAGUUCUCAAUCAAAAUGGUUUUGGUGCCUUGUAGUAUUUUCCUUAGGGUGAUUUACCAAAUAGAGCUGCUUCUGCUCUUGGAGUGAAGGGAAUUGAAAUAUUUCCUCAUCAUAAAAGAUGUUUAACAGCUUACAGUGUGCCUAAGUCCCUGCUCUUUAUUCUAGGCACGUAUGCUUAUCUGGCUGCAAAACAGAGAGUUGUAACUUGGUUUGGCUACUAGGUCAUUAAAUAGCACCAGUAUUUAAUUAUGAUUUAUUACUUUAAAACUGAAAAAUAAAAAGAAGAAUAGAUGUAAUGUCAGGUGACUAGUGUAGGAACAAAAUUCUAAAUAUUGAUGGUCAGAGGAGUUAAAGAAUCAACCUUCAGUCUCAGAAAAUUGAAGAACUGUGAGAGAGACACGUCGUUUGUCUGAAAGUGAAUGUCAUGGACAAGCAAAUUAGUGUGACAAUAAUAACAGUGGUGGUGGCUGCAGCAGCUAACGUGUUUUCCGCUGAAUGCUGGACAGUGUUCUGAGUGCACUGCUUGUAUCGACUCAUUGGCUCUGCAAACAACAUCAUGAAUUCAGUACUAUCGUUACACCCAUUUUAUAGACAAAAUCGAGGCACAGAGAGGUUAAGUUGCGUGUCCACUAGUGAGAGGCUGAGUAGGGAUCAGAAUAUUUGGAGUGUCCUUUGGUCUCUUGGCUGGUUUGGAUUUUGGUUAGUCCUGCUUUGGUCGAAGGAUCCUUGGAGAAUCGUGAAAACCCCUUUCGUACAACCCGGGCACGGUCUGAGCUGGCCUCCAGGUGGGGUUUGGGGUUUUGGCUCAGGGAUGAGGUAGAGCAAACAGGGCUGUCUCCGGUGUCUGACCAGGUCGGCUUUGGUCAGACCCUCUGCUCCUCUGGCUCUGUGGAGUCAGCUGCCCCUGGAGGGUUGACAGUAGAUUUCCCUUUUGUGUAAUUGUUGUCUGGGGUUUUUGGUGACCUGCUUCCCCAGCAUUUUUCCACAGAGAGUAGAGAGUUGAUUGACUUGAGUGUGACCAAACUAGCUGUGGUUAUGCAAUAAGUAGGACAUCGUUAAGGAUUUUUCUUCUUGUUGGUCCCAAAUCUGGUUCUAUUCUUUCACUUCAGGCAUGUGACCAUCUAAAGCCUCAAAGAUAACAAAUGUGGACGAGCUGAUCACACAUGGCCACACCUUCAGGGCAAAGGUUCCUGGAUAUCACUAGAGCUCUGCAUACCGAAAAUGGUGUAAAUUCCAGACCCUGCCCAGAUGAACUGCGUCUAAAGUUACAAAUAACAUAUAUAGUGGCCAAAUUCAUUGACCGGAACUGUUUUCACAAGAAAGAUGCUGAUCAAAACAGAGUUGAACAGAAGAUGGAGUAGAAGAAAGGGAAAAUGAAUGAUUCAGUUAUUGCUAACUUGUAGGAAAUAAAUAUUUGGUAAAUAAGAAACGAACUUUUGAGAGAAAAACGUUAAUUCACUGAGAAAUAAGGAUAAUGAAUUCAUUUUAAUUGUCUGCCUAAUUUCAUACAUGUAACCUACUUCUUUCCUUGAUGUCAUAUUAUCAUGGGAUCUUUAUAAGGGACCUUGAAAUUUCAUGUGACACAUUUCAGUGAUUGCAGGUCAGAACUCAUUUCAUCCAUCCAGGGAAGUGAGAGUCUAUCUGCUCUCAAAGAAUUAGGAAGAAAGGGAUUCCAACCUGAUGGGGAAACGAAAUGAUAAGGAUUAUGAGAAUGAUCGGAUGGGGAGGGGGGCUUUUUCUGUUGCCCCGGAUUUGAAAGAAGGCCCAGAGCUAAAAACGGUAAUGGGGAUCUGAAACUUUCUCCAAAGUUUUUCUAAGGGGCUGGGCCUCAGUCCCCACCUACACCCCCUGCCCCUUAACACCCAGUCCAGGGUCUACAGAAGAAGCCUGAGGAGAAGUGAGGUGGGCCGUUCCUCCCCUCCCACUGGGGAGGGACUUCUCCUGACUCCCACUGCCUAGUAACGAAAGAGGCUCUGACAGUGGCUUUCAGGGCUGAGCCUGGUCACCUCUGCUUAGGUAGCAGACUUGCUGGGCUGCCAUUCCUCCCCGAGCCGAGAAGAUGGAAGCUGGGGAGACCUGGCUGGCCCGGUGGAAUUGGCGACCGUGGAGCAGCCAGCUUGCCCGCCUAUUAUGUCGCAUGACCAGGGUGCAGGAAAUUCCUUAGGACCAGAGGACGUAAGGAAGGCAGCUAUCCUUGAGCUACCUGGCUAUACGCCCCCCACAACCCCAAAGACUGUGCACCACGAUUUGGGUAUAUUAUUGGGCUAGUUGAGGGGUGGGUGGGAGAGGUCCAGCUAGAGCUGAAUCUUCCGUAUUGGGGGACUGCACACUGGGAAGACCCGUCUGGCUAAAUUUCACAUGUGUUCCCCAUGAGGCAGAGUUCAGAUGCUGGCAUGCACACUCAGAUCGCCGGAGAAGCAGAGCAGUCAACAGAGCGGGGGCCACAGCUGUCUCUUUCCUUCCCUUUCUUCCUGACUCCGAUCCUGAGGGAGCCAGGCCUGGGAGGGGGAAGAAGGAGUGUCUCAGAGCCUGGACUCCCUCCAGCCUCAUCUCACUCUAAGCAGUCAGGG
Long non-coding RNA from Equus asinus (donkey), 5825 nucleotides. The record is from Ensembl. NCBI's taxonomy places the organism in Eukaryota, Metazoa, Chordata, Mammalia, Perissodactyla, Equidae.